RNAcentral lists this long non-coding RNA (902 nucleotides) under Gossypium barbadense (sea-island cotton). Its description in RNAcentral is "long non-coding RNA (GBAR_LNC015165)". The record is from RNAcentral. Lineage: Eukaryota; Viridiplantae; Streptophyta; Magnoliopsida; Malvales; Malvaceae.
UAAGCUAUUUUACAAUAUCUGGAUCAAACUAAUUAAAAGUUAAUGUAUACAAUUGAACAAUAAAACAUUGUUCAUGUGUGCUUUUGGGAUUUAACCCAUUUUGAUAUAUUUUUGUAAAUAUUAAUUUAUAUUUAUAUUUAUAUUAUUUACAUUUAUAUUCUAAAAUAUCCAAGAUUAAACACAAAUUCCUAAACCCUAAAGUGGAAACCCUAAAACCAUCUAUAAUAGGCUAUUUUUGCCCGGGCCCAAAUAAAUACAUAAUCCAUUUUUACAAAUAACCUAAACCCAUUAACCAAUUGAACCCAAUAAAGACCAAACCAUUAACCCUAGCCCAAUUACAGAGUGGCCCAAAAAGUUCAAAGAUCAGCAGAAACCCCAGGCAGUUUUCCCAACGCCGCACACGUCCUCAUGUCGCAGCAACUGUCCCGUUGCUCCACGUUCUUGCUCGCACGUCCAGUAGCCCCGCACAACGCACGUUUUCCAUACACAUGCAACAAACAAUCGAUAAUGGCAGAAAAUAUGACAAAAAUGUAAAUGGGGGGAAGUUUUCGAGGGCUUGUUUUUUUGAUUCGACUAUAUAAAGGCCAAUCGAUCUUUGUAAUGGGGAGCAAAAUUUUUUUUUGUACCGAAAUCAAAAAGAAAAUAUACAGAAAAAUAUUUUUGAAGGUGGGAUUUGGUUUUAUUUUUCUCUGUUCCUUUACUGUUUUUUUUCAAUUUAUUUUAGUUAUUUUCUUUUGCUUCUAAAAAACAACAAAUAAACAAAACGAGGAAGGGAGUAAAGGGAACUUACCGGUGUGGCGUCGUUGAAGCUCCUUUGUUUCAUCGCCAUAGGAGCAGAGGAGGGCAGAAGGAGAACAUUACGGCGCAAUGUCAAAGAAAGAAAGAAAAUGUUCUUUUUAGGG